UCCUACCAGGCUGUGGUUGCGGACGGACGAAAUGCCCGUCCUAGUCCAAGACAGACGCGGUCAAAGGGAUCCACGUAAGCGACCGCGUGUGCGCGGCGCGAUCAUGGCGCGUCCUAGAUGUAAGCCGCACCGUCCGUUCUAUUUUUCUUUGGGGCAAUACCGCCUCGCGGGCGAGCGGGCCAGUCGUGAAGGCGGCUACGGCCUCCCGAGCAAACGCCCCGGUGCGCAAGUGUGGGGUCAAAUACCAGGUCAGCUGGUGGGA
Molecule: non-coding RNA, 262 nt
Submitted as: unclassified sequences
Source: Rfam